UACGUAGGGGGCAAGCGUUGUCCGGAAUUAUUGGGCGUAAAGAGCGUGUAGGCGGUCCGGUAAGUCAGCUGUGAAAGUCAAGGGCUCAACCCUUGAAUGCCGGUUGAUACUGUCGGGCUAGAGUCCGGAAGAGGCGAGUGGAAUUCCCGGUGUAGCGGUGAAAUGCGCAGAUAUCGGGAGGAACACUAAUGGCGAAGGCAGCUCGCUGGGACGGUACUGACGCUGAGACGCGAAAGCGUGGGGAGCAAACGGG
RNAcentral lists this ribosomal RNA (253 nucleotides) under uncultured bacterium. RNAcentral describes it as "partial 16S ribosomal RNA". It matches the Rfam family "Bacterial small subunit ribosomal RNA", at positions 524 to 776 of the family's 1533-position model. The record is from RNAcentral.